Molecule: ribosomal RNA, 301 nt
Filed under: uncultured bacterium
Lineage: Bacteria
Description: partial 16S ribosomal RNA
Rfam family: Bacterial small subunit ribosomal RNA
Source: RNAcentral
AGUAGCCGCGGUAAAACGGAGGAUCCAAGCGUUAUCCGGAAUCAUUGGGUUUAAAGGGUCCGUAGGCGGUCUUGUAAGUCAGUGGUGAAAGCCCAUCGCUCAACGGUGGAACGGCCAUUGAUACUGCAGGACUUGAAUUAUUGGGAAGUAACUAGAAUAUGUAGUGUAGCGGUGAAAUGCUUAGAGAUUACAUGGAAUACCAAUUGCGAAGGCAGGUUACUACCAAUUGAUUGACGCUGAUGGACGAAAGCGUGGGUAGCGAACAGGAUUAGAUACCCGGGUAGUCCCUGUCUCUUAUACA